UUGGGCAGAGGAAAGGUUCAUUUUUUUAGGGUAGUACCUCGGGAACCGAUCCAGUGGAGAUGGAGUAGAGCCUGUAAUUCAGAGGAUUAGAAUACGUGGCUACGAAUCAUGGUGUCGGGGGUUCGAAUCCCUCCUCACUCACAACCGGCUAAAAAUGGUGUGUUUAUGAUCCGACCAGUAUUGAAAUGUUCAAGUGGUGUAAAACACAAUCUAAAGUUCAUGUUUCUUAGGGAUUAUCGUUAGAUCUGAUUUUUAAAAUAAACAAAGUUUUUCCUUUUAAAAUUAUGAUCUUCGCCUUGAUUAAUAUAUCCAGACAUGCUGCAAGCAAGAUGAAGCUGAAGAGAAAAGGUGAUGUCUGAAGUUAAACCAGCUUCGCAAACGCAGCCAGCAGCUUAUUUCGAGGAGCUACGAACUGGUGUCUAGGGGCUUUGAUAGACUCAUGGAUGCUGAUGAGAGUUUCUCCAACCCAAUGGCGGAUAGCUUUUGAACUUCAUCACUUGAUGUUUGCGCCAGCAGACACUCGACGAGCAAAGGUAACAUCUCAAAAUCGAAGAUCCGUUCUAUGUUGAACUGCUUUCCUUUGCUGAUGCUUGACAGGUCUUCGAUUGCCUCGAGCACCAUUGCAUCUGAACUGGCUAGGGACAGAGCGGCUCGGGCGACUUUGAUUGUUGCUAUCUCAUUACGUUCCUUCCAUUUGUCUAUUGUAGACUUCAGAGCUCUGUUUGAAUUAACAGCUUUGGACACAAGCUUUUGCCCUGUGACUGGGCAGAAAACUUCCUCAGAUUCUUCAAACUCUUCAAACCACUCGACGAUUGCUUUUCUUUCGUAUGUCACUCCCGUUUCAAGGCUAACCGGAUCAUCCAUGAUGUCUUUCGUCAAAGGACAGAUGAAGGUCUCAAAAAG
Long non-coding RNA from Cucurbita moschata (crookneck pumpkin), 903 nucleotides. RefSeq lists it as uncharacterized. NCBI's taxonomy places the organism in Eukaryota, Viridiplantae, Streptophyta, Magnoliopsida, Cucurbitales, Cucurbitaceae. The transcript is spliced from 5 exons. The record is from RefSeq and is a predicted model, not a curated record.